UUCCGGUUGAUCCUGCCGGACCCCACUGCUAUCGAGGUGGGACUAAGCCAUGCUAGUUGAGCGCACAGAACUAUGUCUGUGAGCGGCACACUGCUCAGUAACACGUAGCUAACCUACCCUUAGGACGUGGACAACCCCGAGAAAUUGGGGCUAAUCCACGAUAGAUGUAAUGUCCUGGAAUGGUAUUACGUCCAAAGGUAUCCCAUACAUGUUUGGUAUACGCCUAAGGAUGGGGCUGCGGCCGAUCAGGCAGUUGGUGAGGUAAUGGCUCACCAAACCUUUGACCGGUACGGGCCAUGAGAGUGGUAGCCCGGAGAUGGACACUGAGACAAGGGUCCAGGCCCUACGGGGCGCAGCAGGCGCGAAACCUCCUCAAUGCACUUACGUGCGAAGGGGCUACCUCGAGUGCCACCUGAUGAAGGUGGCUUUUCCUAGGUCUAAAAAGCCUUGGGAAUAAGAGGGGGGCAAGACUGGUGUCAGCCGCCGCGGUAACACCAGCCCCUCGAGUGGUGGGGAUGAUUAUUGGGCCUAAAGCGUCCGUAGCCUGCCGUAUAAGUUUCCCGUUAAGUCCAGCGUCUUAAGCGUUGGACGGCGGGAAAUACUGUACGGCUAGAGAGUGAGAGAGGUUAGCGGUAUUCUGGGGGUAGGGGCGAAAUCCUUUGAUCCCCGGAGGACCACCAGUGGCGAAGGCUGCUGACUAGAACACGUCUGACGGUCAGGGACGAAAGCU
This 730-nucleotide ribosomal RNA is filed under the name uncultured archaeon. RNAcentral describes it as "bacterial SSU rRNA". It matches the Rfam family "Archaeal small subunit ribosomal RNA", at positions 1 to 712 of the family's 1478-position model. The record is from RNAcentral.